Gadus macrocephalus (Pacific cod) is the source of this 3402-nucleotide long non-coding RNA. RefSeq lists it as uncharacterized. The transcript has 2 exons. The record is from RefSeq and is a predicted model, not a curated record. NCBI's taxonomy places the organism in Eukaryota, Metazoa, Chordata, Actinopteri, Gadiformes, Gadidae.
ACUCUGCACAGUGUGAUGGAAAAUCUACAUGUUGUAUUGUUUUGGUCUAUAUGAAUUUAAGUUUUGUUGCUAUUCUGUGUAAUUUUAUAUAGUGUGCCUUCUGCUCUCCUUUUGGGUCAUUUAAAGUGUGAACGUUCGAGAGUCGUGUGAUGCAUUUUAUUGCCUGCCUGUUCCUAUCUUUUCGUGUGUCAUCUCCCAAGCAAUGCUUUGAAGUAUGGGCCUUUUCCUCGACACUCUGGCUAGCGUAAACAAAGUCAGAGAGUUACAUGUCACGGCCGCCGACCCCACCUUAGCCUCGGGGGGGGGGGGGGGGAGCUUCAACUGUAAAGAUAACAAUCUGGUGAACAAAGACUUUUAGUAUUGGGGGACCACCCCCUUCAGGACCCAAACGAAGUGAAUAAGAACUCAUUGAUUGGAAGACUCAGUGGACUUGUCUGAGCGUACCUUCAGAGAAUGAAGUAACACGCAAAGAGGAGCUCCCAUCUGAGGCCUCAGAUUAUUGUAAUGUAUGCCUGUUAUGUUGUUUGUUGAUGCAUGUUGUGAUGUAUCUUUGUUCGUACUUUUAUUACAAAUAUAUAUAACCACUAAUUGUCAACAGUAUUGUGUGCUUUUUGCAUCUAAAUAUCUCAUCUGCUUAGACGCAAUAUCUGAUACAGAAAUUGCCACGACAGUUGGGGGCUCGUCCGGGAUAUCUAACCUGAAGAUUCUACGAAAUAUCAGCUUCCAAUACAGGUCUGAGGAUUCGUUCUCAGUCCCAAAGCUCUACCUCGCCUCCAGGUGACUGUAACCAGACUGUAACCAAACCAGAGGUCGAGGAAAGGGUGCCUGAGGGGAUAAACUAGUGGUUCUUCAGUACGGUAUCCAAAGGAAAAAAGAAUUCGAGCAGGUGAGAUCACAAUACUGUUAAAGCUUCAAAAUAAAAUCCGUUACAGGAACGGUAUAUAAAUGUUUCGGUAAACGUAAACUUAUAUCUGAACUUAGGCCUCGUUCAAAGAAACUCUGUUAUAGGAACAUGCGGUAGCUCCGUUUCGCUUCCGUCAAUAUAUAUAUGGCUAUAUAGGUAACAGAAAGGGCAGCUAGGGUCUGUCAGGGACGGUAAAGGGAAACCCGUUGAAGCGCGGUUGGUGUUAUAUAUAUAUAUAUAUAAAUAAUAAUAAUAGGUAUUCAUUAAUAAAUAUAUGUAUAUGUGUGUAGUAACAAGGAGGUUUCGGCGAUAUUAGAUAAUUUGUUAAAUAAUAAUUAGUGUAAAAGGAUCUAAAAUAUGGGGAACAAAUCUGGAAAAACUGAGAUAACGGGACCUGCGAAGGUGAUGUUGGAGAAGCAUGGUGAAGCGGCUCUGGAGGGUUUAAAAUAUUGGUGCAAACUGGGUUUUCCUGAAAUGGGGAGUUUUAGCUUAAAACGAUUGUUGGAGUCAGAAAUGAAAAAGAAAAGUUCCAAACUAUGUUGGUGCGCAUUUUAUUUGUGGGAAAGAGAGGGCCAGGAUAGAAAAAAAAAAUCAGCCAGGGACAGAGAGCGUAGAGAGUGUAGGGAUUUUUAAUCUCAAUGUCACCCGAGAUAUAGACCCGGACCUGGACUGCACCGGCGGACCGCGUGCAAAUCCCCCUUCUCCUCCCCCGUAUGACAACGCCCAUGAAGCCGCCUACCCUGACCCCGAAGAAGAGGAGAAAGCCCCCGCUCGCAGCGCGAGAGAAGAUAGGCCUGCAACUCGUAGCCAGGGGAAUGCUCCACAAUCAUUCCAGCAGGCGACGGCCACACCGACCAAGCGGGAACCCGUCGCCAGCCGCUUGAGAAACCAGGGAAUGGCGUUCUCCCCAACUCUUAAACAUGGGGACGUGAUGGAUGGACAAUUCCCCAUGAUCGAAGUACUGAACCCCCAGGAUGGCAGUCCAGCAUACGUUUUCCGUGCAUGGAGACCCAGUGACAUUAAGGACAUAGCGGAAUGGCUCCCAGACCCAUCUGCAGUGGGAGGGGCUGCCUUCGCCACAGCCCUUCAAGAGUUGGUCCAACAACACAAGGCCUCCAUCAGCAAAGUUCGCCAACUCUGUACGUACAGCCAAGGCGACAUGCCCGGGAGGGACGAAGCCAAGAAGCUCCAGCUCACCCAACUGGAGGCCCUGGAGAAUCCUAAGCCCACCCGUCGCAACAGAGACCAAAGAGGCGACCGGCCGAAAGAAAAGAGAAAGGAGAACGCCGGACGAUGGAACUGUCAUUAUUGUGGAGCCAAGGAUCAUUGGAUCAAAGACUGUCCGAAAGAAAAGAGAAAGGAGAACGCCAGACGAUGGAACUGUCAUUAUUGUGGAGCCGAGGAUCAUUUGAUCAAAGACUGUCCCAAGGAAAAAGAGAGAGGCAAAGAUGGAAGGGGGCAUUCGCAUUGACGGGACGCAGGAGCAGACCAGGUCCAAGGAGGCGGUAUGAACACCAUGACACAAACACGCAAAAUGGUCUCAACGUCACAACGCACACAAGCACCACAUCCAAAUUAUUGUUGUAUGGUUCUCACCAGCAUUACGCGACCUGAUCAGCUAAAUGUAAUAUUAUAUAUGGUUAUUAUAUAUAGUUAUGAUAUAUGGUUAUAGUAAACAACGGGCUAUUGUAGACAGUGGAUACUCGAUUUUUACAAUCUAUCACAACCAAUUUAAUGGUCAACCAUAUCACACAGCCAUGACCCCAACUGACCCAGACUAACCCCGACUGACCCCCGACUGACAACAGAAGUGUAUUGCCUAAUAUUGAAAAUGCAGAUUUUUAUAUUAUGAUAUUUUGUUAAUGUUUUAUGGCCAAAAUGGCAACAAGGUGAAUUAAUGAACGUAUGAGAGAGAUUGGAAGUAUGUGUUAUGGAAGGAGAAGAGAUAGAUGAGAACGGAAGGCAAGACAAGAUAAGGAAAGGGGUGGGGAGAAAGAUAACCCAUCUGCAUCAAGUUUUGUUCAAAUAGAUCCGGACCUGGACAACGCUCCUCCUCCUCCUGCUUUCAGCCCGACCAGUGGCCCAAUACAGUGCAAAUACCCCACGUCACAACUCCUCUGCAUCAGACUUUAUGAAGUUACAGACCAUGGGAGGCCCACCUGAAGAGCUACGGAACGGUCUGCUGGACGACACAAGGAGACAGUCCAGCAGGACCAACAGCACCAGAGUGGUGGCCUCCAUGGUGCCUGUGUAGCCAUAAGGAAGUGGCCUGAACAUUGAGAAAAAGGAGGGUCGCAGAGACGGGAGAGACGUGGGGACAGGCACUUCAAAGGACAGCCCGUGAUGCAAAUGAGAGGCAGAAAGCAGAGAGAGAGGUGGAGGCGUGUCCAGGCGGAUGGAGAGAAGAGCAGUGUCCCUCAGAGACAUCAUGAAGGACAAUGGGAAAGAGAAGAGGAAUACCGUUUAAAUGUUGGGUUAUACUGUGUGUUAUUAAUGCU